RNAcentral lists this ribosomal RNA (271 nucleotides) under uncultured bacterium. Its description in RNAcentral is "partial 16S ribosomal RNA". It matches the Rfam family "Bacterial small subunit ribosomal RNA", at positions 83 to 353 of the family's 1533-position model. The record is from RNAcentral.
UUUAGAUGGCGACCGGCGCACGGGUGAGUAACACGUAUCCAACCUGCCGAUGACUCGGGGAUAGCCUUUCGAAAGAAAGAUUAAUACCCGAUGGCAUAGUUCUUCCGCAUGGUGGAACUAUUAAAGAAUUUCGGUCAUCGAUGGGGAUGCGUUCCAUUAGGUUGUUGGCGGGGUAACGGCCCACCAAGCCUUCGAUGGAUAGGGGUUCUGAGAGGAGGGUCCCCCACAUUGGAACUGAGACACGGUCCAAACUCCUACGGGAGGCAGCAUG